UCUCUUCAUGUAAAUAAGUGUUUGUUUCUUCCUGAUGAUAGUGGCCUUCUCGUUUGUAAGACUUCAGGCCUUCAAGAGGAGAUCCUCGGAGAGAUGUGAGAACUACGUGGGCAUGUUUUUAAAUAACUGGCUGCCCUCUGUGAGUUCGUGUGAAUUAUGAGGAGGAAAACAAUAGGCUUUGUGCAGAAGGCUGAGCCCGUCUCCGAGGGGAGCUGAAGUCUGUUUGGAGAUGAGGGACUUUCUGUGCGGUUCAGUGAUAGCAGGAAUUGCAUCCAUUUGUUAAUUAAGGCUAUUUGAGAAGGUAAAUCUCUUAAAACCAAAACCCCCAAGUGACUGAGGAAGCUAAAAUGCUUAUAGGACACAGUCUGCCUUUAUAGGCAAAGGCUUCCCACCUAUUUAUACUUUUUCUAAAAACACAUGCAUAGUAAUUAUUCCACCACUUACUGAAACAUAUGCAUUUAAUAACUAGAUUUUCCUCAUAACAUUUUAAAGCAUACAAGUAUUGACCUUAUUGUGAAAAGUGAAAUUAUUUUAGCAAGUAUUUUUAUGCCCCUUCCUGAUGGGUUUAUUGUGUGUGCAUAAGCUUCAAUUUGCAUCUCUGCUAAUCAGUUUGUGAUACCUGUCCAUCUGCAUUUAGACCUUUUUUUUUAUGAUGCCUUUCGCAAGUGUUACAUGUUACCUUUAAGUUCUUGGGAGAAUUGCCUACAAGGAAAAAUACAUCCUUAAUGUGUUGGGUGUUUCUUGCUGCCAGGUCAGGUAAACUGGUUGGCGGGUAGCUCUGCUGUACAAAUGCCAGAUAAAAAUAAUGCUGUUAUUUCCUAUGCAGGAAAAGAGAACAGGUUUUUAUUCACUGUGAUAUUGUCUGAAUAUUCAACUUAAAGGCUGUAUAGAAUUCAGAAGCAACACCCCCGCUUCAUGUUCAAGAUUUUCUUUUCCCUUUUAAGAACUAUAAAGAGACUUCAAAGCCCAAUCAAUUUUUUCCCUUGUUUUCUUUAGAGCACCUACUAACAAAUAGCUUAAUGAUGAACAACACUUGCACUAUUUUUAAAAGAAAAAAGAAACAAGAAAAGAAGCGAUAGCCGUGUCAUUGCCUUUUCAGUCUCUAAACAGCCUAGUAAAAAAAAAAACUGUUUGCAAAACUGUAAGGUUUUUGUUAGCUA
RNAcentral lists this long non-coding RNA (1160 nucleotides) under Anas platyrhynchos platyrhynchos (common mallard). RNAcentral's name for it is "lncRNA (ENSAPLG00000023269.1)". Lineage: Eukaryota; Metazoa; Chordata; Aves; Anseriformes; Anatidae. The record is from RNAcentral.